This 392-nucleotide ribosomal RNA is filed under the name uncultured bacterium. Its description in RNAcentral is "bacterial SSU rRNA". It matches the Rfam family "Bacterial small subunit ribosomal RNA", at positions 362 to 771 of the family's 1533-position model. The record is from RNAcentral.
UAUUGCACAAUGGGGGAAACCCUGACGCAGCGACGCCGCGUGAGUGAAGAAGUAUUUCGGUANGUAAAGCACUAUCAGCAGGGAANNUCNNNANGGUACCUGACUAAGAAGCCCCGGCUAACUACGUGCCAGCAGCCGCGGUAAUACGUAGGGGGCAAGCGUUAUCCGGAUUUACUGGGUGUAAAGGGUGCGUAGGUGGCAGGGCAAGUCAGAUGUGAAAGCCCGGGGCUCAACCCCGGUACUGCAUUUGAAACUGUCCAGCUGGAGUGCAGGAGAGGUAAGCGGAAUUCCUAGUGUAGCGGUGAAAUGCGUAGAUAUUAGGAGGAACACCAGUGGCGAAGGCGGCUUACUGGACUGUAACUGACACUGAGGCACGAAAGCGUGGGGAGCAA